This 378-nucleotide long non-coding RNA is filed under the name Phoenix dactylifera (date palm). Its description in RNAcentral is "long non-coding RNA (PDAC_LNC012111)". Lineage: Eukaryota; Viridiplantae; Streptophyta; Magnoliopsida; Arecales; Arecaceae. The record is from RNAcentral.
UUUGUUCAUGGGAUACGGGAGCUAUCCUGGCUGGCAGCAGGAUAUGGAUGAAACGAAUUCGGAAGAAGAUUAUGGCUCUGAUCUGUGAUGAAGAGAAGAUGGAGCUUAUCCGUGGAUAGGCUGGGGAGUGGAGACAGUUGUGAAGAUACGAUGGGAAGAGGAUGAGGAUGCUGGGAUGUUGGGGAUUUCAUGGGAUCAAGCCGGAAGAGAAGGACGAUGAAGUUAAUCCAAAUGCUGGGAAGAAUGUUGCGGCUGGGAAGUCUUGGGAGGAAGACACGUACGGUGCUUGGAUGCGGAACAGGGGUUGUGUUUGGGUUGGGUGUGGGAAGAUGUUGGGAACGAGCUGGGAGAUGUCCGUGAAUGGAUUGUGGGAUGAUG